This 496-nucleotide small RNA is filed under the name Pan troglodytes (chimpanzee). RNAcentral's name for it is "processed transcript". Lineage: Eukaryota; Metazoa; Chordata; Mammalia; Primates; Hominidae. The record is from RNAcentral.
UUAAAAAACUAAGAAUCCUAGACAUAGCUGGAAAUAUUAUUCAGAUAUUUCCAUCAGGAAAAUGGCCAGGUAUGGUGGCUCACGGCUGCAAUCCCAGCAUUUUGGGAGGCUGUGGCGGGAGGAUUGCUUUUGAUUCCAUGAGUUCAAGAUCAGCCUGGACAACAUGGUGAAACCCCUAUCUCUACAAAACAAACAAACCACCAAAAAAAUUAGCUGGGUAUAGUGGUACACCCUGUGGUCCCAGUUACUUGAGGUGAAAGUAUCACUCAAGCCUGGGAGGUAGAGGUUGCAGUAAGCUGAGAUCAUACUCCAGCCUGGGCAACACAGUGAGACCCUGUCUUAAAAAAAAAAAAAAAAGAAAUAUCUUGGUUCUUUUAUGAACAUGUAGUCAGAUCUGCUACAGAGAGACUUUAGCUUUUUUCCUUACCUCUUUUUUCCUUUCUUUUAUUUUAACUUAAAAAAAUUAAAUUAAAACUUAAAAAUUUUGUAAGUUGUA